GGAGGAUCUGAAUGCUCACGCACGUGGGAUGGCUGCAAGAUCCCAGCAACUUCAGGGUAGCAGAAAGGACAAAAGACAAGUGUCAGGGGACAUGCCACUAACCAUCUGGGCAACAUCAGAGAAAUCUUCCAGCCCUGGUUAAGCUCCAAAGAUUCAUCUGAAACAAUGGAUAAAACUAUUUGUUCUGCCUACUGCACAGGUUUGUUGUAAAGAUCAAGCAAAAUCACGUAUGUGAAAGUACUCUGAAAAGUAUAAAGCAGCAUUCAAACGUAAAAGUAUUAAACUCUCUGCCCUUUUCCCUUGCUUCUCUGAAGUCAUAUUUCGUGUUUGGCUUGUGUCUGCUGGCAGAAAGCACUUAUAACGGCCAGUGGGGUCACCUCCCCUAAGCACACUGAAGCAAGUGCUGCCAGCACUUUUUCUUUAAAAAUAAGGAAGUGGUCCUGUCCUUGGAGAAGGCAAUAGAAAAUGCUUGCUUAGUAGCGUGUACCCGCUCAGGCUCACUUUGCCAAAGAGCCUGCAAUUCCAAGUCAGUUCCGUUUAGUUCAGAAACUGAGGGGCUCCCAGAGAAUCCCAUUGAAGGAACCUUCCUGUGGUCUUCAGGCGCGCUCUGUGCUCCGUUUUCCUCACCUGUAAUAUCGGGAUAAUAACUGUCUCCACCUCAUAGGGUUGUCGCAAAGAUUAAAUGAGUGACCUAUGUAACCAAGCCUGGCGCAAAAUAAACG
Molecule: long non-coding RNA, 722 nt
Organism: Diceros bicornis minor
Lineage: Eukaryota; Metazoa; Chordata; Mammalia; Perissodactyla; Rhinocerotidae
Exons: 3
Source: RefSeq, a predicted model, not a curated record